Molecule: long non-coding RNA, 1757 nt
Organism: Homo sapiens (human)
Lineage: Eukaryota; Metazoa; Chordata; Mammalia; Primates; Hominidae
Product: long intergenic non-protein coding RNA 559
Source: Ensembl
ACAUACAUAGAUAGGGAAGGAAAUGCGAAGACACACAGAAAGAUGACCAUCUUACAAGCCAACAAGAGAGGUCUUAAGCAGAUCCUCUCACAAUCUCAGAAGGCACCAACACUGCCAACAUUUCACUCUCUGACUUCCAGCCUCCAGAAGUAGAUCAGGAUAGAAUUGCUGUUUGACAUCUCUCCCAACUUCCUUAUGCUCUCCGGAGCAGAACACUUCACAGCAGUUAUCAAUCCCAGGGGGAGGAUCCAAACACUUCUUCCUAUUGCAUCUUGGAACUGGAGUCACUAAGAAAAAUGCAACAUGGUCAAGCACUGGGUAGAACAACACACUUUACUUACAGAGAGAAGAAACAGAACAAGAUAAGCUUAAUAGAGUGCUGUGAUCCCUUAUGGCUAGCACGUCACCCAGGCAGGUCACCCAGGCAGGUGGCUGAGAAUGGGCAAUUGGCCUACACGCACCCCUGUCGGGCUGAAGCAGAAGAACCCAACCCCUCCUCCAUGGAGUCUGAAAUAGUAAAAACUGGGUAUGUUCCUGAGGACCAUUGACUUACGAGCUUAAACGGAACAAAGGAGUGCACCCUGAGCUUAUAAGAAAAGAUACUUGCAUAUAAGACAAUAGGCCCUGCAGAGGCUAUCUGGGCUUUUGAUGUUUUGCAAUAAAAAAUUUCUAGGAUCAAGGCCCAUUUUUAUGCAGUCAACUGGGGGUGGAAAGACCCCACAAACUACCUUUCCCAACAGCCUGUCUUCCUUGUUGAGAAAAUUCUCUCAAGGUAUUUACCAGCAGUAAGUUGUUUGAUCCUCUAGAAUGUCUAAUGUCAUCUUGAUGUUGGAUUAUUGUGUUACCAAGCUAACACAAGUGAUGCCAAGAAUAGCCUGAGAAAUGCAGCAGUAAGAUGGGGAUUUAUGACUGACCCACCCCCUUGCUGGCGGGUGAGAGGAUGCCAUCUCUGUUGGAAGGAAGAAAGGCCUGCAGAUACAAUAGAAAAGCCUUCACACAAAUCUGCUGGAGAAGUAGAUCCGGGUGAAACAGCAGGAAAACUGUCGUAAAAAUGCAUAUCUCAGAUCUCCUACUAGUAGGGUCAUAAGCAACCCAUGACUCCAGCUGCUGAGGUCUAAAUCUGUCACUACUUAUGCUCGGAGACUAUUUCCUGUGGAGGAAGUAUUCUUAACCAAUUACUGCAUUUGGCUGUGAUAUGAAAGUUGGCUCAGUCCUGCUGGAUGGAGGCUGAGGCAAAUGUCACAGAUGAUGGAGACAUGACCAGGGUGAUGGGAAUGGCGUUGAAGAGAAGUUGCCUGGCUUGAUAUGUAGUUGAAAAGUAGAACUUACAGGACUUGCUAAUAGUCUACAGGUCAAUAGAGCAUGGAGGAAGUGAGAUUUUGACCAUCCAAAGCCUAAGUCUCAAGAAGCUUUGUGGUUUUCCACUGUGCUCUUUUGAAACACAGUCCUAAUGUGGCCAUUUAAAGGAGCACAAUCUAGUGCAAUCCAGCCUACUGGAGGAUAUAAGAUCUGUAGACUCUCAAGCCAGCAGCAAGUGACACUUCCAGGCACAACCAGCCAUCAUGCCAAAGUGACUUUCAGCAUUGAACUACACCUCACAAUACCUGCAUUCUCUUUUUUACUACAACUUGCUGAUUUCUUUUUUUUUUUUUUUUCUGGUAGCAGAAAUCCCCAUUUGAUGCCAAUUCCUCAUCAUCAUAAGGGAAUGUAAUCAAGGAUUCUUUCCUAAUAAUGUGAAUAGAUGUGCAGUGACUGAC